GAUGGCGGAGAGGGACAGUGGGGCUCCUGCUGGCUUCCCGUCCACUGUGUUUUGAUCAAAGCCCUGGUUCUCGGUCCCUUCUGUGUACAGCCAGAUGAAAGGCAUUGUUGGGCACCUGUUUGCAAAGAAGUGGUGUUUCCUCACAGGACGGCUCACACACGCCUGGGACCGCUCAGUAGGGACGAGACUGACAAGUCCACCCACAAGUUCAGGGACCCAUCCUGCUCUCCCAGGUGACUCCUCGAAGCAACCACUCGGAGAUCCAGAAUCUUCCCAUCAUCUGGCUCUGCCAUUUUGGAGAUGGCCAAGUGACACUGUAGAAGAUUGCAUGUAGGAUAUUUGCUGGAAAUGGCUUCCCUCAUUCUGCCUUUAUGCCAUUGGCCAAAACCUAGUCACAUGGACCCACCAGAUGCACGAAAGGCCAGGAAAUGUGAUCUUCUUAUGUGCCCAGGAGGAAAACGGAAGUCUGAUGACCACAUAGCAUUGUUUCUGCUGCAAGUGUCAUUUCUUCAUGCGGAUGGUCCAGAGGACAACAAAUCAAGCCUUGGUCCGCAGCACUUGUCAGCUUCCUCGGUGUACCUGCUCUGACCGGGGCUGAUUUCAGGUGACCAGCGUGAACAUCACUGAACAGGAAAUCGGGGAGUGACACCCAAGAGCACACCACACGAUGCCAUUUCCACCUUACGGCUACUACAGGUGUAAUUAACCCAACGAGCACGGAUAACCGUAAAACGUAGCGACGUUUUGAAUUU
Molecule: long non-coding RNA, 752 nt
Organism: Herpailurus yagouaroundi (jaguarundi)
Lineage: Eukaryota; Metazoa; Chordata; Mammalia; Carnivora; Felidae
Exons: 3
Source: RefSeq, a predicted model, not a curated record